This 61-nucleotide microRNA precursor is filed under the name Pristionchus pacificus. Its description in RNAcentral is "mir-8364 microRNA precursor family". It matches the Rfam family "mir-8364 microRNA precursor family". Lineage: Eukaryota; Metazoa; Nematoda; Chromadorea; Rhabditida; Neodiplogasteridae. The record is from Rfam by way of RNAcentral.
UCUUCAUUCCUCGUGCUCUCUCAUCGAUCAGAGUGAUGAGAGAGUACGUAGAAUGAAGAGA